This 172-nucleotide ribosomal RNA is filed under the name uncultured bacterium. RNAcentral describes it as "partial 16S ribosomal RNA". It matches the Rfam family "Bacterial small subunit ribosomal RNA", at positions 337 to 526 of the family's 1533-position model. The record is from RNAcentral.
UCCUACGGGAGGCAGCAGUUGGGAAUCUUGGACGAUGGGGGAAACCCUGAUCCAGCCAUGCCGCGUGAGUGAUGAAGGCCUUCGGGUUGUAAAACUCUUUCGACGGGGACGAUAAUGACGGUACCCGUAGAAGAAGCUCCGGCUAACUUCGUGCCAGCAGCCGCGGUAAUAA